RNAcentral lists this non-coding RNA (143 nucleotides) under Chlorocebus sabaeus (green monkey). The record is from Rfam by way of RNAcentral. Lineage: Eukaryota; Metazoa; Chordata; Mammalia; Primates; Cercopithecidae.
GCUGGGCGUGGUGGUGGGCGCCUGUAAUCCCAGCUACUCGGGAGGCUGAGGCAGGAGAAUUGCUUGAAUCUGGGAGGUGGAGGUUGCAGUGAGAUCACACCACUGCACUCCAGCCUGGGUGACAGAGCGAGACUCUGUCUCAA